This 449-nucleotide long non-coding RNA is filed under the name Populus trichocarpa (black cottonwood). Its description in RNAcentral is "long non-coding RNA (PTRI_LNC002102)". Lineage: Eukaryota; Viridiplantae; Streptophyta; Magnoliopsida; Malpighiales; Salicaceae. The record is from RNAcentral.
ACAUCACAAAUUAGUUUUUUCAAAAAAGGGGUCUAUUUUCUUUACUAAAACCAUAAAUAUCGAAACUAAAAAUUCAUGUCAGUUGUUUUUUUUUUUUUGAAGACCUGAAAUUCCAGCUGUACAGUAAACAAGAGCGAAAAUCAUCCCGCCAAAGGCCCAAGCGAUCCCUUGAAUCCCAACCGUUGUACACUUAGUCUGGUCCUUAACCACACCCAUCACAGUCAAAACGGUGAUGUACAAAAACAAGAAAGUGGCCAUGAACUCUGCAAUCCCGGCCCUGUAAAACGACCAUGAAGUCAGUUCGCCUGGCUCAAACAAUGGUGCCGGGGGUGGCUCCUUGUAGUCCUUGUCAUCUAGGCUCUGAGCUGCCGUGCCAAUUGGCUGCCUCUCAUUGAACCUGUUAGCUCCCAGCCUAACAUCUUCUUCUUUGCCCUCCAUCUCUCUGCUGU